Molecule: long non-coding RNA, 1600 nt
Organism: Magnolia sinica
Lineage: Eukaryota; Viridiplantae; Streptophyta; Magnoliopsida; Magnoliales; Magnoliaceae
Exons: 4
Source: RefSeq, a predicted model, not a curated record
UUUUCUACCGGGCUCAAGGGUUUCACUAUCUCCCUUUCUUGUGGCUGUCAUGGCCAACCUACUUUCCCUUCCCACUCUGUUUCCCUCUCUCUCUUUUUCUGCAUUUUAUCAUCCGAUCGGCUGCUUCUAGAUCUUUGCAAUCUCACUAAUCUCCAAAUGCUUAAGGUUGGGAAGGAUGGGUAAGGUUCCAGUUGAUGAAAUUCCAACAUCUCUUGAGGAGAAGGUUGCAGGGCAACGCCUUCAGCUUUUAUCAGGAACACAGGGUUGGACGGUAAAGUGGUGAUAUGGGAUUUGUUUCAGCACUUCACAUUGGUUCAUUGAUUACCAUAGAAUAUACUGUAUUGUUUAGUAUUACACAGGUACUGUUUUGUUUUUUCCAUUGUUUUAUUGAAUACUGUAAAUGAUGGAUUCUAUCCAGGAGUUUGUUCUUUUGAACCGUUCUCUUUCUACAAUUUUGAUGUCAGGGGUUCUUUGGAAAGUUGGAGCUGAAGCAGAUGAUGAUAGGAUUAAGCUGUGGCUUCUGGUGGUGGUGGCUUCAAAAUUGAAGAGGCCAUACUUUGAAGUGCAGCCAUUAUGUUCCAUCAACUUUCCCGGAAAGCAUUCCUCUACCAUGUGUCAUUUACUGCCAUGGAAAUAGUUAUUCUGCUUUUGAAGAAGUUCUCCCACAUGCUCCAACAUUGAUGACUGAUGUGUUCAGCAAUUAUGUUAUUCAAAAGGUAUGAUUUUUCUGGAAAAACAAUCAUUGGUUUCCUUCCAUUCUUUUUUUUUUCUCCCAUAAAGAUACCUUCCAUUCUUUUUCCCCUGUUCAUCUGCCAUCCUUUAUCAUUUUUUUAAAAGGCUGUGGGCUGGUGAUCUAGUAGUCUCUAUAUUCAUUCUCAUGUUGGUCGUAUGAACUCUGUUUGCCUAUGAUAUAAAAAUGCUCGGUUAAUUGUUUGUCUUUGUCGUUUUUGGAGCAUGGAAGCCCUGAGCAGAGAAAGAAAAGAACUAGCAAAUCAGCUUGCUGGCCGCAUUCUUCCUUUGAGCCUUCAGAUGUAUGGGUGCCUGGUAAUUCUAAAGGUAUUAUUAUGGGUCAUUUGUUAGGUGUGGCUUGGCAUGUACUGUUUUCUUCUUUACAUGGACAAAUAGUUCUUGGCAGCCAGCUUUUGGACUAUGCUAUAUACUACUCAACAUUGAUCAAUGCACACACUGUAUACUAGACAACUCAAUAUUUAUGAGGACACCAAUGGCUAAUCCGGAUUCAAUUUGAUCAAUGCACACACUUUAUAUGGCUGCCUUGCUGUUUGUAUAAUAGGUAAUUUGUGAUAUGGAUGCAUACUUCUAACAUGUCUGGAUCUUUUUCUUGGAAGUGGAUCUAAAUGGUGUAUAGGUAGCAGUCCUAAAUAUUUUUUUUUGUUUAUAGUCUGAAUUUGGUUUUUUGUCUAAUUAGCUAGCAAUCAAAGGCCUCAAAUGUAUUUUUUAAAUAACUUGUUAGGCCUCAAAUGGUUUUUACUAAAUCUAUUUCAUCAUUAUAGCCUUGUCCCAGCUAUUAGGGGCAGCCCAGGCAGGAUUCCAUGAAAAUCUAUUUGUUGAUCAAAUUCCAUUGUUGAAUACGUUGGGUAGU